UACGGGGGGAGCAAGCGUUGUUCGGAUUUACUGGGCGUAAAGGGCGCGUAGGCGGCCACUGCAAGUCAGUUGUGAAAUCUCCGGGCUUAACCCGGAAAGGUCAACUGAUACUGCAGGGCUAGAGUGCAGAAGGGGCAACUGGAAUUCUCGGUGUAGCGGUGAAAUGCGUAGAUAUCGAGAGGAACACCAGUGGCGAAGGCGAGUCUCUGGACGACUCCUGACACUGAGGCACGAAAGCUAGGGGAGCAAACAGG
Molecule: ribosomal RNA, 254 nt
Filed under: uncultured bacterium
Lineage: Bacteria
Description: partial 16S ribosomal RNA
Rfam family: Bacterial small subunit ribosomal RNA
Source: RNAcentral